AGUGGCAGACGGGUGAGUAAUGCAUAGGAAUCUGCCCAGUAGUAUGGGAUAGCCACUAGAAAUGGUGGGUAAUACUGUAUACGCCCUGCGGGGGAAAGAUUUAUCGCUACUGGAUGAGCCUAUGUUAGAUUAGCUAGUUGGUAGGGUAAAGGCCUACCAAGGCAGUGAUCUAUAGCUGGUCUGAGAGGAUGAUCAGCCACACUGGAACUGAGAUACGGUCCAGACUCCUACGGGAGGCAGCAGUGGGGAAUAUUGGACAAUGGGCGCAAGCCUGAUCCAGCUAUGCCGCGUGAGUGAGGAAGGCCUUAGGGUUGUAAAACUCUUUCAGCGGGGAAGAUAAUGACGGUACCCGCAGAAGAAGUCCCGGCAAACUCCGUGCCAGCAGCCGCGGUAAUACGGAGGGGGCAAGCGUUGUUCGGAAUUAUUGGGCGUAAAGGGCAUGUAGGCGGUUUGGUGAGUUAAAGGUGAAAUGC
Molecule: ribosomal RNA, 473 nt
Filed under: uncultured Anaplasma sp.
Lineage: Bacteria; Pseudomonadati; Pseudomonadota; Alphaproteobacteria; Rickettsiales; Anaplasmataceae
Description: bacterial SSU rRNA
Rfam family: Bacterial small subunit ribosomal RNA
Source: RNAcentral